RNAcentral lists this ribosomal RNA (349 nucleotides) under uncultured bacterium. Its description in RNAcentral is "partial 16S ribosomal RNA". It matches the Rfam family "Bacterial small subunit ribosomal RNA", at positions 355 to 696 of the family's 1533-position model. The record is from RNAcentral.
UGGGGAAUAUUGCACAAUGGGCGCAAGCCUGAUGCAGCCAUGCCGCGUGUAUGAAGAAGGCCUUCGGGUUGUAAAGUACUUUCAGCGGGGAGGAAGGUGUUGAGGUUAAUAACCUCAGCAAUUGACGUUACCCGCAGAAGAAGCACCGGCUAACUCCGUGCCAGCAGCCGCGGUAAUACGGAGGGUGCAAGCGUUAAUCGGAAUUACUGGGCGUAAAGCGCACGCAGGCGGUCUGUCAAGUCGGAUGUGAAAUCCCCGGGCUCAACCUGGGAACUGCAUUCGAAACUGGCAGGCUAGAGUCUUGUAGAGGGGGGUAGAAUUCCAGGUGUAGCGGUGAAAUGCGUAGAGA